RNAcentral lists this ribosomal RNA (563 nucleotides) under Salmonella enterica subsp. enterica serovar Give. Its description in RNAcentral is "partial 23S ribosomal RNA". It matches the Rfam family "Bacterial large subunit ribosomal RNA", at positions 711 to 1270 of the family's 2925-position model. Lineage: Bacteria; Pseudomonadati; Pseudomonadota; Gammaproteobacteria; Enterobacterales; Enterobacteriaceae. The record is from RNAcentral.
AGACCCGAAACCCGGUGAUCUAGCCAUGGGCAGGUUGAAGGUUGGGUAACACUAACUGGAGGACCGAACCGACUAAUGUUGAAAAAUUAGCGGAUGACCUGUGGCUGGGGGUGAAAGGCCAAUCAAACCGGGAGAUAGCUGGUUCUCCCCGAAAGCUAUUUAGGUAGCGCCUCGUGAAUUCAUCUCCGGGGGUAGAGCACUGUUUCGGCUAGGGGGCCAUCCCGGCUUACCAACCCGAUGCAAACUGCGAAUACCGGAGAAUGUUAUCACGGGAGACACACGGCGGGUGCUAACGUCCGUCGUGAAGAGGGAAACAACCCAGACCGCCAGCUAAGGUCCCAAAGUCAUGGUUAAGUGGGAAACGAUGUGGGAAGGCCCAGACAGCCAGGAUGUUGGCUUAGAAGCAGCCAUCAUUUAAAGAAAGCGUAAUAGCUCACUGGUCGAGUCGGCCUGCGCGGAAGAUGUAACGGGGCUAAACCAUGCACCGAAGCUGCGGCAGCGACGCUUAUGCGUUGUUGGGUAGGGGAGCGUUCUGUAAGCCUGUGAAGGUGUGUCGUGAGGCA